This 497-nucleotide ribosomal RNA is filed under the name uncultured bacterium. RNAcentral's name for it is "partial 16S ribosomal RNA". It matches the Rfam family "Bacterial small subunit ribosomal RNA", at positions 28 to 507 of the family's 1533-position model. The record is from RNAcentral.
GAUGAACGCUGGCGGCGUGCCUAAUACAUGCAAGUCGAGCGAACGGACGAGAAGCUUGCUUCUCUGAUGUUAGCGGCGGACGGGUGAGUAACACGUGGAUAACCUACCUAUAAGACUGGGAUAACUUCGGGAAACCGUAGCUAAUACCGGAUAAUAUUUUGAACCGCAUGGUUCAAAAGUGAAAGACGGUCUUGCUGUCACUUAUAGAUGGAUCCGCGCUGCAUUAGCUAGUUGGUAAGGUAACGGCUUACCAAGGCAACGAUGCAUAGCCGACCUGAGAGGGUGAUCGGCCACACUGGAACUGAGACACGGACCAGACUCCUACGGGAGGCAGCAGUAGGGAAUCUUCCGCAAUGGGCGAAAGCAUGACGGAGCAACGCCGCGUGAGUUAUGAAGGUCUUCGGAUCGUAAAACUCUGUUAUUAGGGAAGAACAUAUGUGUAAGUAACUGUGCACAUCUUGACGGUACCUAAUCAGAAAGCCACGGCUAACUACGUG